GACGAACGCUGGCGGCGUGCUUAACACAUGCAAGUCGAACGGAAAGGCCCUGCUUUUGUGGGGUGCUCGAGUGGCGAACGGGUGAGUAACACGUGAGUAACCUGCCCUUGACUUUGGGAUAACUUCAGGAAACUGGGGCUAAUACCGGAUAGGAGCUCCUGCUGCAUGGUGGGGGUUGGAAAGUUUCGGCGGUUGGGGAUGGACUCGCGGCUUAUCAGCUUGUUGGUGGGGUAGUGGCUUACCAAGGCUUUGACGGGUAGCCGGCCUGAGAGGGUGACCGGCAACAUUGGGACUGAGAUACGGCCGAGACUCCUAAGGGAGGCAGCAGUGGGGAAUAAUGCACAAUGGGCGGAAGCCGGAUGCAGCAACGCCGCGUGCGGGAUGACGGCCUUCGGGUUGUAAACCGCUUUCGCCUGUGACGAAGCGUGAGUGACGGUAAUGGGUAAAGAAGCACCGGCUAACUACGUG
RNAcentral lists this ribosomal RNA (468 nucleotides) under uncultured bacterium. Its description in RNAcentral is "partial 16S ribosomal RNA". It matches the Rfam family "Bacterial small subunit ribosomal RNA", at positions 28 to 507 of the family's 1533-position model. The record is from RNAcentral.